GUCCCGGUGGCACAGCUGGAUAGCGCAGCCCCCUCCUAAGGGGCAGGUCAGCGGUUCGAAUCCGCUCUGGGACGCCA
RNAcentral lists this transfer RNA (77 nucleotides) under Legionella lytica. Its description in RNAcentral is "tRNA-Arg". It matches the Rfam family "tRNA". Rfam says of the family: Transfer RNA (tRNA) molecules are approximately 80 nucleotides in length. Their secondary structure includes four short double-helical elements and three loops (D, anti-codon, and T loops). Lineage: Bacteria; Pseudomonadati; Pseudomonadota; Gammaproteobacteria; Legionellales; Legionellaceae. The record is from RNAcentral. RNAcentral also lists the same sequence under 1 other name.